GAUGAACGCUGGCGGCGUGCCUAAUACAUGCGAGUCGAGCGAACAGACGAGGAGCUUGCUCCUUUGACGUUAGCGGCGGACGGGUGAGUAACACGUAGGUAACCUCCCUAUCAGACUGGGAUAACUUCGGGAAACCGGCGCUAAUACCGGAUAAUAUUUCGAACCGCAUGGUUCGAUAGUGAAAGAUGGCUUUGCUAUCACUUAUAGAUGGACCUGCGCCGUAUUAGCUAGUUGGUAAGGUAACGGCUUACCAAGGCAACGAUACGUAGCCGACCUGAGAGGGUGAUCGGCCACACUGGAACUGAGACACGGUCCAGACUCCUACGGGAGGCAGCAGUAGGGAAUCUUCCGCAAUGGGCGAAAGCCUGACGGAGCAACGCCGCGUGAGUGAUGAAGGUCUUCGGAUCGUAAAACUCUGUUAUUAGGGAAGAACAAACGUGUAAGGAACUGUGCACGUCUUGACGGUACCUAAUCAGAAAGCCACGGCUAACUACGUG
Molecule: ribosomal RNA, 497 nt
Filed under: uncultured bacterium
Lineage: Bacteria
Description: partial 16S ribosomal RNA
Rfam family: Bacterial small subunit ribosomal RNA
Source: RNAcentral